GGGAAAGUUGCAAAGCACUUUGAAGAGAGAGUUAAAGAGGACGUGAAACCGGUGAGGUGGAAACGGACAGAGCUGGCGUAUCUGGCCUGUAUUCAGCCCGCAAGCGGUUGGCGCCGAGGCAAGUGCUUCCAGAUUGGGGCGCUGCUUUGCGUGCUGGCUGUUUGAGGGUGCAUUUGCAGGUGGAGUGGCGCCGAGGCGUUCGGUGCAGCGACAUGAUCUGGGACCUGAGGCCAGCCCGUUUGCGCGGCGCUGGUACCCGGUCUUGGGGAGUGUUGUUUGUGCUGGACGACAAUUGCUUUUGGGUGUUGGUUUCGAGCUGUGUUGGUGCCGAGCUGGCGGCGGGUGGCGGCCGCGUGCGACACGUAUUCGUUGUCGGUUCGGUUUCGGCGCAGUUCCCAUGCACUCGCCCUCGGUGUAAAAGCCGGUCAUCUGUCCGACCCGUCUUGAAACACGGACCAAGGAGUUUAGCGUGUGCGCGAGUCAUUGGGCGUUGAAAACCCAAAGGCGCAAUGAAAGUGAAUGUCUCCUCACGGAGCUGAUGUGCGACCCUGUGCGCCUCGGUGUGCGGGAGCAGCAUGGUCCCGUCCUGACCGCUUGCGGUGGGGCGGAGAAAGAGCGUGCGCGCUGAGACCCGAAAGAUGGUGAACUAUUCCUGAGCAGGACGAAGCCAGAGGAAACUCUGGUGGAAGUCCGAAGCGAUUCUGACGUGCAAAUCGAUCGUCUGACUUGGGUAUAGGGGCGAAAGACUAAUCGAACCAUCUAGUAGCUGG
RNAcentral lists this ribosomal RNA (770 nucleotides) under Radopholoides japonicus. RNAcentral describes it as "eukaryotic LSU rRNA". It matches the Rfam family "Eukaryotic large subunit ribosomal RNA", at positions 357 to 954 of the family's 3401-position model. Lineage: Eukaryota; Metazoa; Nematoda; Chromadorea; Rhabditida; Pratylenchidae. The record is from RNAcentral.